This 1231-nucleotide ribosomal RNA is filed under the name uncultured crenarchaeote. RNAcentral's name for it is "bacterial SSU rRNA". It matches the Rfam family "Archaeal small subunit ribosomal RNA", at positions 77 to 1277 of the family's 1478-position model. Lineage: Archaea; Thermoproteati; Thermoproteota. The record is from RNAcentral.
CAUAGCAAACUGCUCAGUAACACAUGAUCAACCUACCUAUGAUGGAUAAUAACCUCGGGAAACUGAGGAUAAUGAUCCAUAGCUGAUUCGGCUUGGAAAAGUGUUUCAGUGAAAUGGACAUAAAAAAUGGUCUAUGUCUGCUCAUAGGAUGGGAUUGUGGUCGAUUAUGUAAUUGGUGAAAUAAACGGCUCACCCAAGCCCGAUAAUCCGAUAGGGGCCCGUGAAAAGCGGGAGCCCUCGAAGAAUGGGUACUUAAACAGCGAACCAGGCCCUACGGGGCGCAACAGGUACGAAAACUCCGCAAUACACGCCAGUGUGACGGGGCUACCCAAAGUGCUCCAUAUAGGAGCUGUGGUAGGUGCGUAAUGUUCCCUACUAAAAAGGAAAGGGCAAGGCUGGUGCCAGCCGCCGCGGUAAAACCAGCUCUUCAAGUGGUCGGGAUAAUAAUGGGGCUUAAAGUGUCCGGAUAGCUGGUAACGGUAAGGUUCCAUGGAUAGAAACUUGGGACAGCUUACCUGUCCUUAUGCUAGGAAUACUGCUUGACUAGAGGGCGGGACAGGUCUGAGGUACUACAGGAGUAGGAGUGAAAUCUUAUAAUCCUUGUAGGACCACCAGUGGCGAAGGCGUCAGAACUGGAACGCGCCUGACGGUGAGGGACGAAAGCCAGGGGAGCGAACCGGAUUAGAUACCCGGGUAGUCCUGGCCGUAAACGAUGCACACUAGACGAUGGUGCGGCCAUGAGCCGUAUCAGUGUCGUAGGGAAACCGUUAAGUGUGCCGCCUGGGAAGUACGGUCGCAAGGCUUAAACUUAAAGGAAUUGGCGGGGGAGCACUACAAGGGGUGAAGCCUGCGGUUCAAUUGGACUCAACGCCGGGCAACUUACCAGGGGAGACAGCAGAAUGAAGGUCAGGUCGACGACCUUACUUAACAAGCUGAGAGGAGGUGCAUGGCCGUCGCCAGUUCGUGCUGUGAGGUAUCCUGUUAAGUCAGGCAACGAACGAGACCCGUGCCUUUAUUUGCCAUCAAGAAGUCACGACUUCGUUGGGAACGAUAAAGGGACUGCCGUCGAUAAGACGGAGGAAGGAGCGGGCAAAGGCAGGUCAGUAUGCCCCGAAACCCCUGGGCUACACGCGGGCUGCAAUGGUGCGAACAAUGGGCUGUGACUCCGACAGGAGAAACCAAUCCCGAAAUCGCAUCUCAGUUGGGAUUGUCAACUGUAACCCGUUGACAU